This 428-nucleotide ribosomal RNA is filed under the name bacterium. RNAcentral describes it as "partial 16S ribosomal RNA". It matches the Rfam family "Bacterial small subunit ribosomal RNA", at positions 355 to 775 of the family's 1533-position model. The record is from RNAcentral.
UAGGGAAUCUUCCACAAUGGACGCAAGUCUGAUGGAGCAACGCCGCGUGAGUGAAGAAGGUUUUCGGAUCGUAAAGCUCUGUUGUUGGUGAAGAAGGAUAGAGGUAGUAACUGGCCUUUAUUUGACGGUAAUCAACCAGAAAGUCACGGCUAACUACGUGCCAGCAGCCGCGGUAAUACGUAGGUGGCAAGCGUUGUCCGGAUUUAUUGGGCGUAAAGCGAGCGCAGGCGGAAGAAUAAGUCUGAUGUGAAAGCCCUCGGCUUAACCGAGGAACUGCAUCGGAAACUGUUUUUCUUGAGUGCAGAAGAGGAGAGUGGAAUUCCAUGUGUAGCGGUGGAAUGCGUAGAUAUAUGGAAGAACACCAGUGGCGAAGGCGACUCUCUGGUCUGCAACUGACGCUGAGGCUCGAAAGCAUGGGUAGCGAACAG